ACGCACGCUGGCGGCGUGCUUAACACCUGCAAGUCGAACGGAAAGGCCCUGCUUGCAGGGUACUCGAGUGGCGAACGGGUGAGUAACACGUGGGUGAUCUGCCCUGCACUUCGGGAUAAGCUUGGGAAACUGGGUCUAAUACCGGAUAGGAACCAUCUUUAGUGUGGUGGUUGGAAAGUUUUUUCGGUGUAGGAUGAGCUCGCGGCCUAUCAGCUUGUUGGUGGGGUAAUGGCCUACCAAGGCGGCGACGGGUAGCCGGCCUGAGAGGGUGUACGGCCACAUUGGGACUGAGAUACGGGCCAGACUCCUGCGGGAGGCAGCAGUGGGGAAUAUUGCACAAUGGGCGCAAGCCUGAUGCAGCGACGCCGCGUGGGGGAUGAAGGCCUUCGGGUUGUAAACUCCUAUCGCUAGGGACGAAGCUUUGUUGUGACGGUACCUAGAGAAGAAGCACCGGCUAACUACGUG
This 465-nucleotide ribosomal RNA is filed under the name uncultured bacterium. RNAcentral's name for it is "partial 16S ribosomal RNA". It matches the Rfam family "Bacterial small subunit ribosomal RNA", at positions 29 to 507 of the family's 1533-position model. The record is from RNAcentral.